UACGUAGGGGGCUAGCGUUAUCCGGAAUUACUGGGCGUAAAGGGUGCGUAGGUGGUUUCUUAAGUCAGAGGUGAAAGGCUACGGCUCAACCGUAGUAAGCCUUUGAAACUGGGAAACUUGAGUGCAGGAGAGGAGAGUGGAAUUCCUAGUGUAGCGGUGAAAUGCGUAGAUAUUAGGAGGAACACCAGUGGCGAAGGCGAUUCUCUGGACUGUAACUGACGCUGAGGCUCGAAAGCGUGGGGAGCAAACAGG
RNAcentral lists this ribosomal RNA (252 nucleotides) under uncultured bacterium. Its description in RNAcentral is "partial 16S ribosomal RNA". It matches the Rfam family "Bacterial small subunit ribosomal RNA", at positions 524 to 776 of the family's 1533-position model. The record is from RNAcentral.